Molecule: microRNA precursor, 199 nt
Filed under: Oryza brachyantha (malo sina)
Lineage: Eukaryota; Viridiplantae; Streptophyta; Magnoliopsida; Poales; Poaceae
Description: MIR812 microRNA precursor family
Rfam family: MIR812 microRNA precursor family
Source: Rfam by way of RNAcentral
AGUAAAUAAAUCUGUCACUUUUUACUUACAAUGACUUUUCGUCUUAUUUAAUUUUUUUUGCGAUUAACAUUUUUAUUUUUAUUAGAUGAUAAAUCAUGAAUAAUAUUUUAAGCGUGACUAUUUUUUUAAUUUCUUAAAAAAAAUUUAAAUAAAACGGAUGGUCAACCGCUGUAAAGGGAAACUGAAAGUUUGUCUUAUC